AGUUAAAAAGCUCGUAGUUGGAUCUCAGGGUGAGCUCAGUUGGUCGGCCCAUGAGGUCAGAACUGGCUGUCUCUCCCUUGUUUCUGAAUCCCGGCCGGAGUUUAUUCUUCGGUUGUGGACUUCAGAUCGUUUACCUUGAAAAAAUUAGAGUGUUCAAAGCGGGCGUUUGCUUGAAUACAUUAGCAUGGAAUAAUGGAAUAGGACCCUGGUCCUAUUUUGUUGGUUUUGAGGACUAGAGUAAUGAUUAAUAGGGAUAGUUGGGGGCAUUCAUAUUUAAUUGUCAGAGGUGAAAUUCUUGGAUUUAUGAAAGAUGAACUUCUGCGAAAGCAUUUGCCAAGGAUGUUUUCAUUAAUCAAGAACGAAAGUUAGGGGAUCGAAGAUGAUCAGAUACCGUCGUAGUCUUAACCAUAAACUAUGCCGACUAGGGAUUGGGAGCGGUUUGUUCAUUGACCCUCUCAGCACCUUACGAGAAAUCAAAGUUUUUGGGCUCCGGGGGGAGUAUGGUCGCAAGGCUGAAACUUAAAGGAAUUGACGGAGGGGCACCACCAGGAGUGGAGCCUGCGGCUUAAUUUGACUCA
Molecule: ribosomal RNA, 578 nt
Filed under: uncultured marine eukaryote
Lineage: Eukaryota
Description: SSU rRNA
Rfam family: Eukaryotic small subunit ribosomal RNA
Source: RNAcentral